Passer montanus (Eurasian tree sparrow) is the source of this 4588-nucleotide long non-coding RNA. RefSeq lists it as uncharacterized. The transcript has 6 exons. The record is from RefSeq and is a predicted model, not a curated record. Lineage: Eukaryota; Metazoa; Chordata; Aves; Passeriformes; Passeridae.
CGCUGGCCCCGCUCCCCCGCAGCCCUCCCGAGGCGCGGGGCGGGCGGGCCGCUGGCUCAGCCCCGCGGGGGGGAUGCCGGGCCCCCGCCGGGAGGGGACCGCUCCUCCAUGUCGGCUGCAGCUGCCCGCCGCUUCCUCCCCGCACGGCCGCCGACGAGGGGCCGCCUCCCGCCCUCAGCCAGCCGCCCGCCCAGCCGGGACGGCGGCAGCAGCAGCCACUCUGCUCUGCUCCGCCCGCCCGCCCGUCUGAGGGGAGGAAGGGGAGCGCGGGGACGCGCUCAAGCGGCCGCCACCAUCUUCCUCACGGCGCGGGGGGGGUUCGGGGGGGCUGCGGGAGCGCGCCCCCGCUGGCCAAUUGGGCGCGGCGGCGCGGCGGGAGCGCGCCCCCCCCUACACACACACACUUCCCGCCUCAGUGCGAGGGUCGCGGGCGGCAGCGGGGACGGUCCCCUCAGAGAGGGACGGGCGUGAUGUCGGCGGUGCUGUCCAUGGGACAGGGACGGGACAGCGAGGGGCGGCAGGAGCCGGGCGGCACCUUAGCGGGGCCAGUCCGCGGGGCCAGUCCGCGGGGCCGAGCGCCGGGGUUCCCGGGCUGCCCCCGCCGCCGCCCUCCCCACCGGCUGACAUUUGCCAUGCGCAGACAACACGCACUUCACCAAACAAUUCAGCCCGAGCCCCGCUGCAAACUCGCUGGGUUAUUUUUCUCCUCGUUCUCCGCUUGUUUAUGGCUGACGCUAUCUCGCCUGCACCGCUCCCUCGGUUUCAUUAUCUCUCCUCGCAGAUGGACCGUGGCUUUCCUUCUUCGCAGGGCUUCUCUCUGCUGGUGCUAGAGCUCCCUCUCCUCUGCCCGGCUCUGCAUCCCUCACCCUUGCUCACAGGUGAGCGUUCCCCAGCGAAGCACUUCACUGCAGCCGUCCUUCCUCCUGCAGUCCCUUCUCUGAAGGCCCCAGCACCCCGUAAAAUAAAGCCAAUGUAAUAAUAGUGGCAUUGUGGCCAGCGGGACCAGGGCAGUGACCAUCCCCUGCGCUGGGGCACCUCCAAUCCCGGGGAUGAUGAAUUUUUUAAUCAUCAGGAUUAAAGAAGUGCAACAGUUUCCAAGGAUUCAAAGGCAUGGUGGGAAAAGAAGAAAAGUUUUUUACCUCAUUGGCAGAAAAUUUAAGAGCAAUCAUUGCAAGUUUUGAAUCCUGGAAGCCUCCAGGUGAAAGAACUCAUUUAGGAAAACCAAAACUCAGCAAAUCUUCUGGCUUCUUUUCGAAGACUAACAGAAGAUCACUUUGACAUCUGUUCCAUAUGAACCCAUGGAAGCCGAGUAAAUGGGUGGUGCAUUCUCACCUCCUUGCAGUGCCUAGAUUUCUAGGAAGAAGAGAAUUGCUGGGGCAUUUCUGUGACCUGAUCCCUCAUCUUGGUUGAUCCGCGAUGGAAAGGUGACCCCGGGAACGGCUGGGAAUGAUCUGGUGAGAGCCAUUGCUGUCUGAGCCAAGCACAGUGUUCCCAACUGCAUCCCUGAAUAGAUUCACUUGCUCUUUCCCUGGCUCUAUUUUAGCCACAAAUCUGUUAUUCUGCCCUGUGGGUGCCAACAUUUUGUUAAAAAAUAACCAAACUCAGGAAUAUUGGAUUUCUGGUGCACUUUUUUUCCUCCAAAAGGGUUGAAGUGAACGUUCUUCUCACCUAUACCUAGGACUUCAUCUGUGUGGCUGCAACUCUGGUGACAUCCAGAAAGAUGCAUGACCCUUCCUUCAGUGGAGCAGAUAUAUCUUAGCAACUUAGCAAUGUUGUGACAAGUAUGAAGGGGAAGGCAUUGAGAAACUAUCAAUUUUCAGUUUGUAUUUAAGACAAUUUCUACACACUUUUGUGUUCUCAAGCUUGGAAAAAUUUCACUUUUGUCUACAAACACAGGAACCAGCUGUUACUUAAAAUUUUUGUUGUUGUGGUGGGAUUGAGACUUGGAUGAAACAAGAAGGAUUCAUACAGGGAAAUUUAUAGAAUCAAACAAUCAUGGAAUGGUUUGGCUCAGAAGGGACUUUAAAGAUCAUCUCUUUCCAACACCCUGCUGUGGCAGGGACACCUUCCACCAGGUUGAAUGUGAAAGCAAACACCUUCCAAAAUCUCUUGUUUAAAACUGAGCAUGGAUGCAUGCUUGUGCCAUGUGCCUUGUUCUAUUUCCAGAGGAAACAAAAGAAGAAAAUGUUGCUGAGAACACUAAAACAUAACACUUUGGCAAAGGUGGUUAUCACAUCCUCCAGGCAUUUUCACCUGUGGUGCUGCCCUGACAGUUGUGGUGUGUUGUGGAAAUAAAGUGUGAAGCCACUCAGGACUGGGUCCUGCUGGUUGUAGGUGAGCAAGUACAUAAAACCCUUUUGACAGAGGUGAGAGGGAAUGCUUGCUUCCACAGGGGAAGGGGAAUAGUGGUUCUGAGAACUGAAAACACAGCAAAUGUUUGUUGAAAGGGGGAGCUGGGGAGCAGGACAAGGUGGCACACAGAACCCAGUGAAAGGUCACAGAGGGAGAAGUGCCACAAUCCAGAAUUUAUUGCCUAAUGUUACCAGGAUUUAGGAAUGGGACCCUAAUCCUUUUAUAAACCAGGAAUUUCCUUGAGUUGUGUGAAUGGGACAAGCGACAGCCACCAUCAGUAAGCAAAAAUCACACCCCUGUGCUUUGUGGCACACAUUAAACUCUCAGCGGAACAGUCAGGGAAAAUCCCUUCCCAGCAAUUUCCCACCAAAGGCUUCCUCCAGACUGCAGCUUCCAGAAGAUCUGAAUGAUUUGUACCUGUGAGAACUGCUCAGAGGUUGCUUGGUAGAUUCAGAGAGAUUAAUUAUUCACCAAAGAGAACUUGGUAAUGAUGGUGCUACUAUGUGUGAUUUCAUGCCUAAAACUGUCCCACAUCUUGUCUAUUUAUUUGGGAAAUUAAUUUCUAGAACACUUGGAAUACAAAACCAGGAGCUGAAAUUGCCUCUCAGUAUUUCUUCAGUACAAACAAAAAACCAAACAAACAAGCUUAUUGUGUUUCUUACAUGUUCAGUCAAAACAUCUGUUAAUAAUAUUAAACUCCUGGGUACCUGGAGAACCUGUUCUUGAAUAAGCUACAAAGCUGAAGCCUGCCUGAAAAUAUUAGAGUAAGGUAUCCCACCAUCUGAAGGAUUUUCUACACUUCUGCAGUGAUUUUGGGAGGCAGAGACAUGGCCAAAGAGAAAAGGCUCCAGCCAUGCACCAGGGAAGUGGGGCUGAGAAGCAGAGUGAUUGUUCUAAGUGGCUUUUGUCUGUUCAUUUAUCCUCUUUUACUAUCUUUGUUUCCAUUCCUUCCUCAGCUUUAUCUCUGUUGAAGAGCACAGAAAAUAUUCUAUUCCCCUUUCAUAGUUGUAACACAUAUUCAUUAAGUCUAAUUGUAUUAUAACUCAAAUAACUAUUGCCAUGUUUGAUUCCUUAUUUUGACCAUAUAAGCUCUUAAUGAAGAAUUUUCCCUUCAUCUGGAUCUCUUGCUUCCUUUUUUCAUUGAGUUCAGUUCACAGUCAAGUCCAAUGAGCUGCUUUAGAGACUCUUUGAGUGAAGGUGUUUGGAUUUUUAUCCGAUUUUCCCUCCUGCUUUGUCUCACCCGUCCAGCUGUGCUGCUCAGACCAGGAGGCACCACGUCCAUCACUUUGCUACAGCCUCUAACUCCUUCUUCCAAGCCAGAAAUGUGGGCAGGGCUCUUGGAGAGAUUGCCAUCUUCCUAACCUCAGCCUGAGUGUAAACCAACCCACAGCCCACCUCUGUCCCUAGAUGAGCAGUUGUGCUUCUCUAACCAUGGAAACUUCAGUAGCACAGAGCUGCUGCCUUCAUUUUCCCCCAAAAAGGCAAAACACAGCAGUGACAGAUUCGUGGGAGGAUGUUUCUUUCUCCAGUGGAACAAAGCUUCAGGUGGCCACUGCCUGGAGCCCACCACCUCUGCACUGCUCAGUGCCCUAGGAGAGGAUGCAGAUGUAGAAUGUUUGGGCUGAGGUCUUAUUUAAAUUAUGUAUUAGGCUGAAAAAUGGACACACAGGAAUGAAGGAUGCUCCCAGAGCCUGUGGGUGCUGCUGCAGCAUGGAGCUGACAGCAGGGAUGGUCUGGGCUGCUCCAUCCUCCUCCUGCAUCUCAAGGCAAAGACGUGGCAAACACAUGGACUGAAAGAAGUCCCUUUUAUAGGCCUCAAAUCUUACAGAAAAUAAAGAGAUACAGGGCUGAAGAAACCUCUUAGGCUGGAAAUGUAUUCAGUGUUUCUGCAGAAUAGGGAGAGCACAGAGCUUCACUUACCAAAGCCAGCCAAAUCUACAGGACUGUGGGGUUGGAAGACUUUUAUGUCUAGCAAGUAAUAACUGUCUUUAAUUAGCUUUGUUUACAUGAUAGAUGUCAAUGUCAAGCUCUCUCAGUGAAAAGGGCAGAAUGUCCUUAGUGGGAAAUGUGAGUUUUGAAGCCUGACAACAUAGAACCAGCAGGAAGGUUUGUGCUCAGACUGCUGGGGAGAAAAAUCACCUUUGGCUCAACAAAACAGGAAGGAUUUCAAGCCCACAGCAGAAGUUUUUCAAGAAACUAAUGAAAAUGCAGGAUUAUAGUUUAAACUGUUUUGCAA